UAAAACGUAGGGGGCGAGCGUUGCCCGGAUUCACUGGGCGUAAAGCGGGUGUAGGCGGUCCGUUAAGUCGGAUGUGAAAUCUCCGAGCUCAACUCGGAAACUGCAUCCGAUACUGUCGGACUUGAGGACGGUAGAGGUCGGUGGAAUGCGCGGUGUACCGGUGAAAUGGACAGAUAUCGCGCGGAACACCAGUGGCGAAGGCGGCCGACUGGGCCGAUCCUGACGCUGAGACCCGAAAGCCAGGGUAGCGAACCGGAUUAGAUACCCGGGUAGUCCUGGCCGUAAACGGUGCGGACUAGGUGUGGGGGGCGUCAUGCCUUCUGUGCCGAAGCUAACGCAUUAAGUCCGCCGCCUGGGGAGUACGGCCGCAAGGCUA
RNAcentral lists this ribosomal RNA (376 nucleotides) under uncultured bacterium. RNAcentral describes it as "bacterial SSU rRNA". It matches the Rfam family "Bacterial small subunit ribosomal RNA", at positions 521 to 896 of the family's 1533-position model. The record is from RNAcentral.